Long non-coding RNA from Lactuca sativa (garden lettuce), 383 nucleotides. RefSeq lists it as uncharacterized. The record is from RefSeq and is a predicted model, not a curated record. Lineage: Eukaryota; Viridiplantae; Streptophyta; Magnoliopsida; Asterales; Asteraceae.
AAUUUUGUUUUUUUGUUUUGUUAGCUUCGCUUGGGGUAGCUAUCUCUGGGAUUUUACUUAUGUUGACUUUGAGGAUACAUGGAACAAAAUACAUAAUUAUUUAUCACUUUCUGAGCGUCGUCAAACUUUAAAGUACUCCGUCUCAGGAUUUACGGCUCCAAUAAGGAUAUGGAUAUAUGAGAUGAUUCCGACUGUUCGUGCAUGUGGAUUUGUAUUGAGAAAAAAUAAAGACUUGCCUCGGAUGAAACGAUGGAGUGGAACAAAAAAAUUGAAAUGGGUUGACGUGAACAAGAUUUGGUCAAAGAUACAGGUUUAUAAAUUUUUCGUUUAUUAUUAAUAAACUUGAUUAUUAUACUUUUAUAUGCAUUUUUAAUAUGUUUAAU